GUUUAAAAUAGAAAUUUUGUUCUAGAAGUUGUUAUUUUUUGCUAUGAAACACAUCACCAUAAUGCACUUUAUUAAAUAACAUUAUGGUUAAAUGGCCAAUUCAAGUAUAUUUUUCUGAAAUUCCUUAUAAAGUCUAAAAAUGUCUCUACCCUGGCCUGUCCUCUUGCCAACUUCAGUUUAAUUUGAAUACGAUACAUUACUUCUUUAUAUCAGUUGCUAAACUAAAAUAUGUUAAACACGAACUUCAUUAAAUAUAUUUAAUUAUUAUUAAUAAAAAAUUCAACAAUAUUUAUUUAUUUCCAAUAAUUUUUAAAUUUAAAGUUUGUCCCACUUUGUUUUGUGUAUCUACCCUGGCAAAUUUCAUUCAGCUACUAAAAACAUAAUAUAAAACAGAUAUAUUCGAAAUAGUGCUCAAGAUUAUCUAUCGAUGUGUAGUUAGCAAUACAAAACACACGAGCCAUGAGAGAGACAAGAAUCUACAGGUCGAGCAAGUCUCGUAAAUUUCACGAUUGCGAGCCACGCUUCACGCAACCGUGUUUGCGUACUUGUGUUUCGAGUUGCGUGGUCGUGCGGAGUUAUAUUUACCAAAUUUAAAUCCGUUCCAACAUGCUGUCAAAAUUAAAUCAAUAUGUCAAUAUGGCUACUUGGUGUAAAAGAUAAAUCUUAUUCUAUCUGUUCUUAAUGAGUUUUAGAUAAUUUUAGUUGUAUUUCUUUGUAAUUUUGUGUUGUACAAAGAUUAAUUUAACAUUUUCUCUGGAAGUAUUAAUUUAGAAAGAUAAUAUGCUUCAUUGGUGUUGUGUUUUGAAGUGUGAAAUGCAAAGUAAUUGUGAUAAAGUCAAGAUAAAGUUCACUUUUAAACUGAACUAAAUAAGGUAUCUGAGAGACAACAAUGGUUAUUAAAUGCAAUACAAUGUACAGGUUUUACUAGCGAAAUGAAAAUUUUCCUGUCCUGUCUGCUGUAAUCAUUUUAUAUCUGGAAAACCAGCCGACUUAAUCGAUAAUAACAAUCUCCAGAUUGGGUUCCUUCAAUAAAUAUGGGCUAUAAACACAAUGAAAUAAGUUCCCCAAAAUCUAAAAUGGAGUGGUAUCAAAGGAGAAUUAAAGGAAAAAAUAUUCAUAUUGAAAUUAUUUAUAAGGCACUGGACUGUCUUAAAUUCUACAAUAAUACUAGAAUCAGCUGAGAGAAGUGGUCUACAAAAAACCAGGAAGGAAACGGAAUAUGUGGCUACGAAAGGCAAAAGAAAGGUUUACAAAGCAAAUGUGACACAUUUUUUUGAAAUAUUUAGGAAUAUCAGUAAAUUGCAUUAAAAAAAUGUAUGAAAAGAUUUUGUUCAAUAAAAAUGUUUAUAUUUA
RNAcentral lists this long non-coding RNA (1353 nucleotides) under Diabrotica virgifera virgifera (western corn rootworm). Its description in RNAcentral is "uncharacterized LOC126886866". The record is from RNAcentral. Lineage: Eukaryota; Metazoa; Arthropoda; Insecta; Coleoptera; Chrysomelidae.